GGUCCGGCCGGGCCUUUCCCUCUGUGGAACCCCAUGCCCUUCACUGGGUGUGGCGGGGAAACAGGACUUUUACUGUGAAAAAAUUAGAGUGCUCCAGGCAGGCCUAUGCUCGAAUACAUUAGCAUGGAAUAAUAGAAUAGGACGUGUGGUUCUAUUUUGUUGGUUUCUAGGACCGCCGUAAUGAUUAAUAGGGACAGUCGGGGGCAUCAGUAUUCAAUUGUCAGAGGUGAAAUUCUUGGAUUUAUUGAAGACUAACUACUGCGAAAGCAUUUGCCAAGGAUGUUUUCAUUAAUCAGGAACGAAAGUUAGGGGAUCGAAGACGAUCAGAUACCGUCGUAGUCUUAACCAUAAACUAUGCCGACUAGGGAUCGGACGAUGUUAUAUUUUGACUCGUUCGGCACCUUACGAGAAAUCAAAGUGCUUGGGCUCCAGGGGGAGUAUGGUCGCAAGGCUGAAACUUAAAGAAAUUGACGGAAGGGCACCACCAGGGGUGGAGCCUGCGGCUUAAUU
RNAcentral lists this ribosomal RNA (510 nucleotides) under Fusarium mori. Its description in RNAcentral is "SSU rRNA". It matches the Rfam family "Eukaryotic small subunit ribosomal RNA", at positions 680 to 1195 of the family's 1831-position model. The record is from RNAcentral. Lineage: Eukaryota; Fungi; Ascomycota; Sordariomycetes; Hypocreales; Nectriaceae.